RNAcentral lists this unclassified non-coding RNA (261 nucleotides) under plant metagenome. Its description in RNAcentral is "partial contains small subunit ribosomal RNA, internal transcribed spacer 1, and 5.8S ribosomal RNA". The record is from RNAcentral.
UUUCCGUAGGUGAACCUGCGGAAGGAUCAUUAUCGUAAAACCGAGGUGCGAGGGCUGUCGCUGACCUUUUCGGUCGUGCACGCCCGAGCGCUCUCACACAAUCCAUCUCACCCCUUGUGCACCACCGCGUGGGUCCCCCUUUGGCUUGUUCGGAGGGGGGCUUACGUUUUCACACAAACUUUGUAUGCAGUGUAGAAUGUAUUUUUUGUUUUUGCGAUCACGCAAUCAAUACAACUUUCAACAACGGAUCUCUUGGCUCUC